This 432-nucleotide ribosomal RNA is filed under the name uncultured bacterium. RNAcentral's name for it is "partial 16S ribosomal RNA". It matches the Rfam family "Bacterial small subunit ribosomal RNA", at positions 29 to 507 of the family's 1533-position model. The record is from RNAcentral.
AACGAACGCUGGCGGCAUGCCUAACACAUGCAAGUCGAACGAACCCUUCGGGGUUAGUGGCGCACGGGUGCGUAACGCGUGGGAAUCUGCCCUUUGCUUCGGAAUAACUCAGGGAAACUUGUGCUAAUACCGGAUGAUGUCUUCGGACCAAAGAUUUAUCGGCAAGGGAUGAGCCCGCGUAGGAUUAGGUAGUUGGUGGGGAAAAGGCCUACCAAGCCGCCGAUCCUUAGCUGGUCUGAGAGGAUGAUCAGCCACACUGGGACUGAGACACGGCCCAGACCCCCCGGGGGGGGGGAAGGGGGAAAAUGUGGGCAAGGGGCAUAAGCCUGCCCCGCCAGGGCCGGGUGGGUGUUCAGGGCCCUGGGGCCGUAAAGCUUUUUUACCGGGGUUGUUAUUACGGUACCCUGAGAAAAAGCCCCGGCCAACCUCGUG